Molecule: ribosomal RNA, 927 nt
Filed under: uncultured archaeon
Lineage: Archaea
Description: bacterial SSU rRNA
Rfam family: Archaeal small subunit ribosomal RNA
Source: RNAcentral
UUCCGUUGAUCCUGCGGACUUUACUGCUAUCCGGGUUAAGACUAAGACAUGCAAGUUGUGCGUCUCGAGCUAUGGUGGGACGCAGCGACGCUCAGUACACGUGCCUAACCUACCCUUGGGACUGGGGCAACCCCGGGAAACUGGGGCUAAUUCCAGAUAGGUGAGGAGGCCUGGAAUGGUUCCGUCACUAAAAGGGCUCAGGUCCAUGCUUCUUGAUGUCGCCCAAAGGAUGGGGCCGCGGCCGAUCAGGUUGUUGGUGAGGUAAUGGCUCACCAAGCCUAUAACCGGUACGGGCCAUGAGAGUGGUAGCCCGGAGAUGGGCACUGAGACAAGGGCCCAAGCCCUACGGGGCGCAGCAGUUGCGAAACCUCCGCAAUGCGCGAAAGCGUGACGGGGUUACCCCGAGUGCCGUCCGUUGAGGAUGGCUUUUCUCCGGUGUAAUGAGGCGGAGGAAUAAGGGGAGGGCAAGACUGGUGUCAGCCGCCGCGGUAAUACCAGCUCCCCGAGUGGUAGGGACAAUUAUUGGGAUUAAAGCGUCCGUAGCCGGCCUGACAAGUUUUCCGUUAAAUCCAGCGAUCUAAUCGCUGGGCCGCGGGAGAUAUUGCCAGGCUAGGGGACGGGAGAGGCCGGCGGUAUUCUCGGGGGAGGGGGGAAAUCCUGUAAUCCCGGGAGGACCACCAGUGGCGAAGGCGGUAGGGUAUAACGCCCUAGACGGUGAGGGAGGAAAACUGGGGGAGCGAACCGGAUUAGAUACCCGGGUAGUCCCAAGUGUAAGCGAUAAAGCAUUAGGUGUUGGAGCGGAUACGUACUGUUUGGCUGCCGCAAGGAGAGGGUUAAGGCCGUCGCCUGGGAAGUGGAAUCGCAAGGCAAGGCUGAAAGGAAAGAACGGGGGAGCGGAGCAAGGCAAGGGGCGGGCGGUGCGGUUGG